GAUGAAGAACGCAGCGAAAUGCGAUACGUAAUGUGAAUUGCAGAAUUCAGUGAAUCAUCGAAUCUUUGAACGCAUAUUGCGCUCUCUGGUAUUCCGGAGAGCAUGCUUGUUUGAGUAUCAGUAAACACCUCAACUUCCAUAUCUUUUUUGAAAUGGGAGUUGGACUUGAGUGAUCCCAACGCUUUUCCUCACCGAAAAGUGGCGGGUUACUUGAAAUGCAGGUGCAGCUGGACUUUUCUCUUAGCUAUAUGCAUAUCUAUUUAGUCUGCCUAAAAAACAGAUUAUUACCUUUGCUGCAGCUAACAUAAAGGAGAUUAGUUCUUGUGCUGACUGAUGCAGGAUUCACAAAGACAGGCUUCGGCCGACUUUGUAAACUCGAUCUCAAAUCAAGUAAGACUACCCGCUGAACUUAAGCAUAUCAAUAAGCGGAGGA
Molecule: unclassified non-coding RNA, 433 nt
Filed under: soil metagenome
Description: partial contains 5.8S ribosomal RNA, internal transcribed spacer 2, and large subunit ribosomal RNA
Rfam family: 5.8S ribosomal RNA (bases 1-120)
Source: RNAcentral